GGAGAGAUGACCGAGAGGCCGAAGGUGUACGCUUGGAAAGCGUAUGUGCCCCACCAGGGCACCGAGGGUUCGAAUCCCUCUCUCUCCG
This 88-nucleotide transfer RNA is filed under the name Spirochaetales bacterium. Its description in RNAcentral is "tRNA-Ser". It matches the Rfam family "tRNA". From Rfam's summary of the family: Transfer RNA (tRNA) molecules are approximately 80 nucleotides in length. Their secondary structure includes four short double-helical elements and three loops (D, anti-codon, and T loops). The record is from RNAcentral. Lineage: Bacteria; Pseudomonadati; Spirochaetota; Spirochaetia; Spirochaetales.